Molecule: ribosomal RNA, 253 nt
Filed under: uncultured bacterium
Lineage: Bacteria
Description: partial 16S ribosomal RNA
Rfam family: Bacterial small subunit ribosomal RNA
Source: RNAcentral
GACAGAGGUGCCGAGCGUUAUGCGGAAUCACUGGGCUUAAAGCGUGUGUAGGCGGCGGCGUAAGUACCUUGUGAAAUCCCACGGCUCAACCGUGGAACUGCUCGGUAUACAGCGUCGCUUGAGCCAGCUAGGGGCAACCGGAACAAACGGUGGAGCGGUGAAAUGCGUAGAUAUCGUUUGGAACGCCGAUGGUGAAAACAGGUUGCUGGGGCUGCGCUGACGCUGAGACACGAAAGCCAGGGGAGCGAACGGG